Molecule: long non-coding RNA, 893 nt
Organism: Ictalurus punctatus (channel catfish)
Lineage: Eukaryota; Metazoa; Chordata; Actinopteri; Siluriformes; Ictaluridae
Source: Ensembl
CUGCUAAUAAAUGUUUUAUUUUUUUAAACUGUACAUCUUUUCUCUAAUAAACACUGACGGGUGUAUUCGAACACUAUUCGAACACUUCUCUCCUCCUGGGUUAUGAUUAAUUAAUCAUUUCUUCUCACAGAUCCACACAGGAGAUUAAAGCUCAUGAUUAACGGAGGAUUUUCACACAAUAUUCCACUGCAGAACAUGAAAAGGAAUUGCAUUGAACUUCACCAUUAAAGGACGUUUGGGAGGCGGCUUUAAUGUUAGGGUUAGGAGGCGGGGUUAAGGGCAGGGUUAGGAUUAAGAGGCGGGGUUAGGGUUAGGAGACUAAGGGGGAGGGGUUAAGGUUAUCUGUGGAGCAGGUGUGUAAAUAAGAUUGAGUUGAGAAAAGAGAGCGCUUGGAUUAGCUAGCGUGUUAGAUGAGUGGUAAGCGAGCAGAAGCCGUGUCAUUUCCUGUGCAUGAAGCAGCAAAUCCACACUGACACUACAACACCACCAUCGCUAACCGGCGUACAGAGAUCUUCUCAAAUUUGUUUUUACUAAUGUUCAUACUUCACUGUAACGUCACUGUGUCCUGUCUAUUAAAAAACUUAUUACAAUGAAUUAUGUUUAGACAAGCCACGCCCACUAGCAACAAUCCGGUAACGUAAGUGUGACCUGUCUAGACAUUUAAAAAAUGUUCUGAUUAAAAAUUCAUUCAAAUUAAAUUUUGUACACAGGCCACACCCACUACUGACAAUCCUGUAACAUGUACAUGAGAUGAGAGUGUGUGUGAGAGAGAGAGAGAGAGAGAUUAAAGAAGAGCACUGAGGGAGAAAAAAGUCUCAUGUCUAAGACUCAUAUGCGAUAAACAAUAUCAUUCAGGUCAUUCAACAGAAAAUGAAACCAGAUCACUGAUGUGA